Molecule: ribosomal RNA, 398 nt
Filed under: uncultured bacterium
Lineage: Bacteria
Description: bacterial SSU rRNA
Rfam family: Bacterial small subunit ribosomal RNA
Source: RNAcentral
AUUGAACGCUGGCGGCAUGCCUUACACAUGCAAGUCGAACGGCAGCACGGGAGCAAUCCUGGUGGCGAGUGGCGAACGGGUGAGUAAUGCAUCGGAACGUGCCAUUGAGUGGGGGAUAACGUAGCGAAAGUUGCGCUAAUACCGCAUAUUCUGUGAGCAGGAAAGCAGGGGACCGCAAGGCCUUGCGCUCUUUGAGCGGCCGAUGUCAGAUUAGCUAGUUGGUGAGGUAAAGGCUCACCAAGGCGACGAUCUGUAGCGGGUCUGAGAGGAUGAUCCGCCACACUGGAACUGAGACACGGUCCAGACUCCUACGGGAGGCAGCAGUGGGGAAUUUUGGACAAUGGGCGCAAGCCUGAUCCAGCCAUGCCGCGUGAGUGAAGAAGGCCUCGGUUGUAAGU